UUAUAAUUUAUUUAUUGUUUAAUUAUUUAUUUAUUAUUUAAUUUUAUUAAAAUUAAUUUUAAUUUUUAUUGUUUUAGUAUUGAAUAAAGAAAUAAUAGGUUUAAUUAUAGUGAAUUAGUAUUGUGAAAGAAAAUUGAAAUAAUUUGAAAAAUUUUUAUUGUUAAAGAAAAUUUAAUUUAUUGUACCUUGUGUAUCAGGGUUUAUUAAUUAAAUUUUAAUUAAAUUAAUUUUCUCGAUUUUAAAAGAGUUAAUAUAUUAUUUAAGUUAGUGUAAUAAAUUUAUUUAUAAUAAUAUAUUGGAAAUGAAAUGUUAUUCGUUUUUAAAGGUAUCUAGUUUUUUAAGAAAUAAAUUUAAUUUAGAAAUUUUAUAUUAUUUAAUUAUUUGUAUUAAUUAGGUGAUUGUUUAAUUUUAAUAUUUUAAGGGAUAAGCUUUAAAAUAAAUUAUUAAAAAUUUAUUAUUGUAGUAGUAAAUAUAGGCUUAAAAAUAGCCAUUAUUAAAGAAUUUGUUAAAAUUUAUAUUUUAGAUUAUAUUAUUUAUUAAAUUUUAAUUUUUUAUUAAAAUAUUUAUUUUAAUUAAAUAUGUGAAUUAAUAAUGAUAAAAUUAGUAUAUAAUUUUGUAUUGAUAAAUUAAUUUGAUAAGUUUUAAUAAGGAAUUCGGCAAAAAUUUUAUUCGCCUGUUUAACAAAAACAUGUCCUUUAGUUUUUUAUUUAAGGUCUGACCUGCCCACUGAUUAAUUAAAUGGCCGCAGUAUUUUAACUGUGCAAAGGUAGCAUAAUCAUUAGUCUUUUAAUUGGAGGCUGGAAUGAAUGGUUGGACGAAAUAUUAACUGUUUCGUUUUAAUUUUUUAUAGAAUUUUAUUUUUUAGUUAAAAAGCUAAAAUUUAUUUAAAAGACGAGAAGACCCUAUAAAUCUUUAUAUUUUUGUGAAAAAUAAAUUUUUAGGUGAUUUUAUUUUUUUUUUGUUAAUAAUAUUUUAUUGGGGUGAUAUUAAAAUUUAAUAAACUUUUAAUUAAAUUUUCAUUUAUUUAUGAGUGUAUGAUCCAUUAUUAGUGAAUAUUAAAAUAAGUUACUUUAGGGAUAACAGCGUAAUUUUUUUGGAGAGUUCUUAUCGAUAAAAAAGAUUGCGACCUCGAUGUUGGAUUAAGAAAUAUAUUUGGGUGUAGAAGUUCAAAUUAUAAGUCUGUUCGACUUUUAAAUUCUUACAUGAUCUGAGUUCAGACCGGCGUAAGCCAGGUUGGUUUCUAUCUUUAAUUAUUUUUAAUAUUUUAGUACGAAAGGACCAAAUAUUUAAUAAAUUUAUAUUUAUUUAUUGAGUAAAAUUAAUGCUA
RNAcentral lists this ribosomal RNA (1327 nucleotides) under Cephalopina titillator. RNAcentral describes it as "16S ribosomal RNA". The stretch from base 1076 to 1235 matches the Rfam family "Archaeal large subunit ribosomal RNA", at positions 2542 to 2701 of the family's 2987-position model. The record is from RNAcentral. Lineage: Eukaryota; Metazoa; Arthropoda; Insecta; Diptera; Oestridae.